GAUGAACGCUGGCGGCGUGCCUAAUACAUGCAAGUCGAGCGAACGGACGAGAAGCUUGCUUCUCUGAUGUUAGCGGCGGACGGGUGAGUAACACGUGGAUAACCUACCUAUAAGACUGGGAUAACUUCGGGAAACCGGAGCUAAUACCGGAUGAUAUUUUGAACCGCAUGGUUCAAAAGUGAAAGACGGUCUUGCUGUCACUUAUAGAUGGAUCCGCGCUGCAUUAGCUAGUUGGUAAGGUAACGGCUUACCAAGGCAACGAUGCAUAGCCGACCUGAGAGGGUGAUAGGCCACACUGGAACUGAGACACGGUCCAGACUCCUACGGGAGGCAGCAGUAGGGAAUCUUCCGCAAAGGGCGAAGGCCUGACGGAGCAACGCCGCGUGAGUGAUGAAGGUCUUCGGAUCGUAAAACUCUGUUAUUAGGGAAGAACAUAUGUGUAAGUAACUGUGCACAUCUUGACGGUACCUAAUCAGAAAGCCACGGCUAACUACGUG
Molecule: ribosomal RNA, 497 nt
Filed under: uncultured bacterium
Lineage: Bacteria
Description: partial 16S ribosomal RNA
Rfam family: Bacterial small subunit ribosomal RNA
Source: RNAcentral